RNAcentral lists this ribosomal RNA (490 nucleotides) under uncultured bacterium. RNAcentral describes it as "partial 16S ribosomal RNA". It matches the Rfam family "Bacterial small subunit ribosomal RNA", at positions 28 to 507 of the family's 1533-position model. The record is from RNAcentral.
GAUGAACGCUAGCUACAGGCUUAACACAUGCAAGUCGAGGGGAAACGAUGAGAGAGCUUGCUCUCUUAGGCGUCGACCGGCGCACGGGUGAGUAACGCGUAUCCAACCUACCCAUUACAGGGGGAUAACCUUGCGAAAGUAAGACUAAUACCCCAUGGCAUUUUAUGGUGGCAUCAUUAUAGGAUUAAAGAUUUAUUGGUAAUGGAUGGGGAUGCGUCUGAUUAGCUUGUUGGCGGGGUAACGGCCCACCAAGGCAACGAUCAGUAGGGGUUCUGAGAGGAAGGGCCCCCACAUUGGAACUGAGACACGGUCCAAACUCCUACGGGAGGCAGCAGUGAGGAAUAUUGGUCAAUGGGCGAGAGCUUGAACCAGCCAAGUAGCGUGCAGGAUGACGGCCCUAUGGGUUGUAAACUGCUUUUAUAGGGGAAUAAAGUGAGCUACGUGUAGUUUAUUGCAUGUACCCUAUGAAUAAGGACCGGCUAAUUCCGUG